GUAACAGGAAGCAGCUUGCUGCUUUGCUGACGAGUGGCGGACGGGUGAGUAAUGUCUGGGAAACUGCCUGAUGGAGGGGGAUAACUACUGGAAACGGUAGCUAAUACCGCAUACCGUCGCAAGACCAAAGAGGGGGACCUUCGGGCCUCUUGCCAUCGGAUGUGCCCAGAUGGGAUUAGCUAGUAGGUGGGGUAAAGGCUCACCUAGGCGACGAUCCCUAGCUGGUCUGAGAGGAUGACCAGCCACACUGGAACUGAGACACGGUCCAGACUCCUACGGGAGGCAGCAGUGGGGAAUAUUGCACAAUGGGCGCAAGCCUGAUGCAGCCAUGCCGCGUGUAUGAAGAAGGCCUUCGGGUUGUAAAGUACUUUCAGCGGGGAGGAAGGGAGUAAAGUUAAUACCUUUGCUCAUUGACGUUACCCGCAGAAGAAGCACCGGCUAACUCCGUGCCAGCAGCCGCGGUAAUACGGAGGGUGCAAGCGUUAAUCGGAAUUACUGGGCGUAAAGCGCACGCAGGCGGUUUGUUAAGUCAGAUGUGAAAUCCCCGGGCUCAACCUGGGAACUGCAUCUGAUACUGGCAAGCUUGAGUCUCGUAGAGGGGGGUAGAAUUCCAGGUGUAGCGGUGAAAUGCGUAGAGAUCUGGAGGAAUACCGGUGGCGAAGGCGGCCCCCUGGACGAAGACUGA
RNAcentral lists this ribosomal RNA (685 nucleotides) under uncultured Escherichia sp. RNAcentral describes it as "bacterial SSU rRNA". It matches the Rfam family "Bacterial small subunit ribosomal RNA", at positions 69 to 743 of the family's 1533-position model. Lineage: Bacteria; Pseudomonadati; Pseudomonadota; Gammaproteobacteria; Enterobacterales; Enterobacteriaceae. The record is from RNAcentral.